This 1049-nucleotide long non-coding RNA is filed under the name Parus major (Great Tit). RNAcentral describes it as "lncRNA (ENSPMJG00000004052.1)". The record is from RNAcentral. Lineage: Eukaryota; Metazoa; Chordata; Aves; Passeriformes; Paridae.
AUUAUGUGUUACAAAUAUAAAAUUAUUAUUAUUAUAUGCAUGUGAAAUAUAGAUGAUUAUAUGUAAUGAUAUAAUCGGGGUGCAGAGCAGAACAUGAAACCUACUUCUACUUCAGAAAACCUGUUUAUUCUGUUCUCUUCACAGGAGAGUGUGGCUCUUUCAUUUACAUCUCAACUGUAAAAACAAAUUCCAGGCUCUUGGUUCAAAAGCUCAGGAACACUCUGCUCUAUGAGCAGAAAGUCUGCCUCUUCUUGGACAGGAACCUUGGACAAAUCAUCUCCCUGCAUGCUGCGACCUUCCCAGUGAUGAGAUAAGGAUCAUAAUUUUGAUUUAUAUCACACAUGGAUUCUCAACAGGAGUUCAAAAUACUUUUCUGUUCUAUAUCAAGCACUAAAGUAGUGCUGUGGGCUCCAAAACAACCUCUCCUUCCCUUCUUUCUCCUACUUUCUGCUCCACACAAAAAUCCAAAAAGGAGACUGCAAAACUACUUGCCUAAAGAAAUGAAAUAACAGCGAGCAUUUGCCAAAGCACUCCCACCACUUGAAGCAGUUUGUUUUGCAGAACACUCACUGCCACACUUCUGAGUGAGAAAGAAGCAACAGGAGAGCAAAAUCUUUCCUUUAAUCAUUUCUGAAGAGCUUAUCAUAGUAGCACUGAGAUAUUCAUAGCCCUUUGGUUUCUUGCUGAAUGGAAGUGGAAAAAAGAAUCCAUCUUUCCUUUAAAACCCAAAUGAACAAAAUGGGAAGUUUGAACAAACCUAGAAAAUUAAGAGCUGCUUCUACAGUCAUCACUGAUUUCAGCAGGAACUGAAGAUGCUGAGAGAAAUCCCUGACAACAAAUACCUGUUGAAAAAUUGCCAAAAUAUUUAAAAACAUUACAUUGUUAACAAAAGUGAAAAUUAAGAUUAGAAAAUCAUGCUUGCAAACACUGAGGGGCUAUAGGAAGUGAAGUUCAAACAACAGCCCAGUGCUAAAUUCUAAAUUGCCAAACCACAGAAAAUUCAUCAACAGCAAAAUAAAAGAAUCUUUGAAAGCUUUAUUAAAUAAUUC